UGCCAGCCGCCGCGGUAACACGGGGGGAGCAAGCGUUGUUCGGAAUCACUGGGCGUAAAGGGCGUGUAGGCUGCACGGUAAGUGAGAUGUGAAAUCCCUCGGCUCACCCGAGGAAGUGCAUCUCAAACUGCCGCGCUUGAGUACGGGAGAGGUUGUGGGAAUUCCUGGUGUAGCGGUGAAAUGCGUAGAUAUCAGGAGGAACACCGGUGGCGAAGGCGCACAACUGGCCCGAUACUGACGCUGAGGCGCGAAAGCUAGGGUAGCAAACGGGAUUAGAUA
RNAcentral lists this ribosomal RNA (279 nucleotides) under uncultured bacterium. RNAcentral describes it as "partial 16S ribosomal RNA". It matches the Rfam family "Bacterial small subunit ribosomal RNA", at positions 506 to 784 of the family's 1533-position model. The record is from RNAcentral.